ACGGAAGGCAGCAGUGGGGAAUAUUGGGCAAUGGGGGAAACCCUGACCCAGCAACGCCGCGUGAAGGAAGAAGGCCUUCGGGUUGUAAACUUCUUUUACCAGGGACGAUAAUGACGGUACCUGGAGAAAAAGCAACGGCUAACUACGUGCCAGCAGCCGCGGUAAUACGUAGGUUGCAAGCGUUGUCCGGAUUUACUGGGUGUAAAGGGCGUGUAGGCGGAGCUGCAAGUCAGAUGUGAAAUCCCGGGGCUCAACCCCGGAACUGCAUUUGAAACUGUAGCCCUUGAGUAUCGGAGAGGCAAGCGGAAUUCCUAGUGUAGCGGUGAAAUGCGUAGAUAUUAGGAGGAACACCAGUGGCGAAGGCGGCUUGCCGGACGACAACUGACGCUGAGGCGCGAAAGCGUGGGGAGCAAACAGGAUUAGAUACCCUGGUA
Molecule: ribosomal RNA, 434 nt
Filed under: uncultured Oscillospiraceae bacterium
Lineage: Bacteria; Bacillati; Bacillota; Clostridia; Eubacteriales; Oscillospiraceae
Description: bacterial SSU rRNA
Rfam family: Bacterial small subunit ribosomal RNA
Source: RNAcentral